GGAGGUCACUGCUAUUGGGGUUCGACUAAGCCAUGCAAGUCAUCAGCUUCGCAAGGAGCUGAGGCGCACUGCUCAGUAACACGCGGAUAACCUAACCUCGUGUCCGGGAUAACCCCGGGAAACUGGGGAUAAUACCAGAUAGAAGAUAGAUACUGGAAUGUUCUAUCUUCGAAAGGCGCAAGUUUACUUGUUAGCGCACGAGGAUGGGUCCGCGGCUGAUUAGGUAGUUGGCGGUGUAACGGACCACCAAGCCUGCGAUCAGUACGGGUGGUGGGAGCCAUAGCCCGGAGAUGGACUCUGAGACAUGAGUCCAGGCCCUACGGGGCGCAGCAGGCGCGAAAACUUCGCAAUACGCGUAAGCGUGACGAGGGAACCCCAAGUACUCUUGCUUUUUGCAGGAGUUUUUGCCAAGUGUAAACAGCUUGGAGAAUAAGGGCGGGGUAAGGCCGGUGUCAGCCGCCGCGGUAAUACCGGCCGCCCGAGUAGUGGCCACUGUUAUUGGGCCUAAAGCGUCCGUAGCCGGUUUUGUAAGUUUCUGGGUAAAUCCCACAGCUUAACUGCGGGAAUUCCAGAAAUACUGCAGAGCUAGGGGCCGGGAGACGCAGAAGGUACUCCUGGGGUAGGGGUGAAAUCCUAUAAUCCUAGGAGGACCACCAGUGGCGAAGGCGCUCUGCGAGAACGGGCUCGACGGUGAGGGACGAAAGCCAGGGGCGCAAACGGGAUUAGAUACCCCGGUAGUCCUGGCCGUAAACGCUGCAGGCUAGGUGUUACGUUCUCUACGAGGGGACGUAGUGCCGAAGAGAAGUCAGUAAGCCUGCCGCCUGGGAAGUAUGUCCGCAAGGACGAAACUUAAAGGAAUUGGCGGGGGAGCACCACAAGGGCUGGAGGCUGCGGUUCAAUUG
This 902-nucleotide ribosomal RNA is filed under the name uncultured archaeon. Its description in RNAcentral is "bacterial SSU rRNA". It matches the Rfam family "Archaeal small subunit ribosomal RNA", at positions 19 to 908 of the family's 1478-position model. The record is from RNAcentral.